UGAAUUGCAGCUGUACUAAUUACCAAAGAGCAGAAGCAGCCUUGCUCUUAAUAGGUCACAGCUGUGUCCAAUAGGGAUGUGUGUUCUAAAAGAGUCGUUGGCAGGUCAUGGAGAGAGGAAGGAGUCGGUGUUGCUGUCUGUGGGAAUUCACAGAGGAAAGGACAAAGACAAAGCUGUACAGUUCUGUACCAAACACCUGUGACAAAUGUGAAAUCAUGACAAUCAGAAGACCAGUAAAAUAAUAUUUUGAAAAUGUUUAAUAGGAUGCUGUGAACACUAACUACUCAGCCAUGACAAAUAUGCUGGGCUCCUCUGCUGAGCAUGGCAUGUCUGUAUCACACACCCGAUGGAUCUGUCACUGAGCAAUCACAAACCCAACGUGAAGAGCCCGUGUCUAAUGCAACAUCCUCCGAAUGCAGGAAGUGACAGAAGAGCUGGCACAGAGCCUCCCCAUCUAUUACUGGAAAGCACAAGUCCUCCAACGACUGUCAAAAGGACCCGGAGGAUCAUCCAGACAAAGAAAUUCUCUCACUGCAAGGCUUUACCAAAUAAAAGAGAAUGAAUUACUGGAAGUACAAAACCAGCAACAA
Long non-coding RNA from Zonotrichia leucophrys gambelii, 590 nucleotides. RefSeq lists it as uncharacterized. The transcript is spliced from 3 exons. The record is from RefSeq and is a predicted model, not a curated record. NCBI's taxonomy places the organism in Eukaryota, Metazoa, Chordata, Aves, Passeriformes, Passerellidae.